Molecule: ribosomal RNA, 799 nt
Filed under: uncultured bacterium
Lineage: Bacteria
Description: bacterial SSU rRNA
Rfam family: Bacterial small subunit ribosomal RNA
Source: RNAcentral
AGAGUUUGAUCCUGGCUCAGAUUGAACGCUGGCGGCAGGCCUAACACAUGCAAAUCGAACGGUAACAGAGAGCAGCUUGCUGCUCUGCUGACGAGUGGCGGACGGGUGAGUAAUGUCUGGGGAUCUGCCCGAUGGAGGGGGAUAACCACUGGAAACGGUGGCUAAUACCGCAUAACGUCGCAAGACCAAAGUGGGGGACCUUAGGGCCUCACACCAUCGGAUGAACCCAGAUGGGAUUAGCUAGUAGGUGGGGUAACGGCUCACCUAGGCGACGAUCCCUAGCUGGUCUGAGAGGAUGACCAGCCACACUGGAACUGAGACACGGUCCAGACUCCUACGGGAGGCAGCAGUGGGGAAUAUUGCACAAUGGGCGCAAGCCUGAUGCAGCCAUGCCGCGUGUAUGAAGAAGGCCUUCGGGUUGUAAAGUACUUUCAGCGGGGAGGAAGGGAUGAAGCUUAAUACGCUUCGUCAUUGACGUUACCCGCAGAAGAAGCACCGGCUAACUCCGUGCCAGCAGCCGCGGUAAUACAGAGGGUGCAAGCGUUAAUCGGAAUUACUGGGCGUAAAGCGCACGCAGGCGGUCUGUCAAGUCGGAUGUGAAAUCCCCGGGCUCAACCCGGGAACUGCAUUCGAAACUGGCAGGCUAGAGUCUCGUAGAGGGGGGUAGAAUUCCAGGUGUAGCGGUGAAAUGCGUAGAGAUCUGGAGGAAUACCGGUGGCGAAGGCGGCCCCCUGGACGAAGACUGACGCUCAGGUGCGAAAGCGUGGGGAGCAAACAGGAUUAGAUACCCUAGUAGUCC